Molecule: ribosomal RNA, 472 nt
Filed under: uncultured bacterium
Lineage: Bacteria
Description: bacterial SSU rRNA
Rfam family: Bacterial small subunit ribosomal RNA
Source: RNAcentral
UGGGGAAUCUUGGACAAUGGGGGCAACCCUGAUCCAGCCAUGCCGCGUGAGUGAUGAAGGCCUUAGGGUCGUAAAGCUCUUUCGCCUGUGAAGAUAAUGACGGUAGCAGGUAAAGAAACCCCGGCUAACUCCGUGCCAGCAGCCGCGGUAAUACGGAGGGGGUUAGCGUUGUUCGGAAUUACUGGGCGUAAAGCGCACGUAGGCGGACCAGAAAGUUGGGGGUGAAAUCCCGGGGGCUCAACCCCGGAACUGCCUCCAAAACUAUUGGUCUAGAGUUCGAGAGAGGUGAGUGGAAUUCCAAGUGUAGAGGUGAAAUUCGUAGAUAUUUGGAGGAACACCAGUGGCGAAGGCGGCUCACUGGCUCGAUACUGACGCUGAGGUGCGAAAGUGUGGGGAGCAAACAGGAUUAGAUACCCUGGUAGUCACACCGUAAACGAUGAAUGCCAGUCGUCGGGUAGCAUGCUAUUCGGUG